This 484-nucleotide ribosomal RNA is filed under the name uncultured bacterium. Its description in RNAcentral is "partial 16S ribosomal RNA". It matches the Rfam family "Bacterial small subunit ribosomal RNA", at positions 30 to 507 of the family's 1533-position model. The record is from RNAcentral.
AUUGAACGCUGGCGGCAUGCUUUACACAUGCAAGUCGAACGGUAACAGGGUGCUUGCACCGCUGACGAGUGGCGAACGGGUGAGUAAUGCAUCGGAAUGUACCGUGUAAUGGGGGAUAGCUCGGCGAAAGCCGGAUUAAUACCGCAUACGCCCUGAGGGGGAAAGUGGGGGACCGAAAGGCCUCACGUUAUACGAGCAGCCGAUGUCUGAUUAGCUAGUUGAUGAGGUAAAGGCUCACCAAGGCGUCGAUCAGUAGCGGGUCUGAGAGGAUGAUCCGCCACACUGGGACUGAGACACGGCCCAGACUCCUACGGGAGGCAGCAGUGGGGAAUUUUGGACAAUGGGCGCAAGCCUGAUCCAGCCAUGCCGCGUGUCUGAAGAAGGCCUUCGGGUUGUAAAGGACUUUUGUCCGGGAGCAAAUCCUAGUGGUUAAUACCUACUGGGGCUGAGAGUACCGGAAGAAUAAGCACCGGCUAACUACGUG